This is a long non-coding RNA of Planococcus citri (citrus mealybug), 2958 nucleotides long. RefSeq lists it as uncharacterized. The transcript has 2 exons. The record is from RefSeq and is a predicted model, not a curated record. Lineage: Eukaryota; Metazoa; Arthropoda; Insecta; Hemiptera; Pseudococcidae.
UCCAUUUCUAAAUCGUCAUCUUGAAGUUCUUUUAACACAAGCUUAUGUUCAUUUUCUGUCUCUGUGUAAGUUUUACAUUUGCAGUAACAUUGACCAUAUGCUCCGCAUUUGAAGCACCCAACAGCAUCUACCUCAGUUUCAUUCAAUUGGAAGCAUUCUUUUCCACAACAGUAAAUUGGUUUUCUCAAUCGUUUAUGUGUACCUGAUGUUGUUUUAUCUGCGUUUUCAUCUGGUAACUGUUGAUUGUUUUCAGGACUUGUAGUCUGUUCAUCUGUGUUUUUAUCUGUCAACUCUUGAUUGCUGUUUUCAGGAUGUUCCUCAUUAUUGAUCCAUGUUCUAUAUUUCUGAACAUUGAUGUAGGCACAUGCAAAUGAUAAAUGGUUACCAAUUGGAUGAUGAACAGCUACUUUACAAUCCAGGUAAUGUGUUAAAAAGGGUAACUCCUUUGUAGGUGGGCAGUUUAGGCUGUUUAGAUCAAUUGUUGUUCGGUUUAAAAGCUCUUCUAAAGCUUUACAUUUUUCUUUACCUUUUAAGUAAAUUUUUGUAGCAUGAAACAAAAACAAUUUUAUAAGUUUCACGACAUGAUGUAGUUGCAUAUUGCCAUCUUCCCACUUUAGUCCAUGGUAAUUUUUUUGUAACCAUGCGACUUCUUUUCUUCUUACCUCUGGAAGUUGGGUGAUUGAAUAUGGAGGACUCACUAUGAAACACGUUGGAUCAUCUUUUCCAUCUCUGGAUACUAUUGCAAAUUCUUUGAUUAUAAAAUUAUUUAAUUGAUCUCUAAAUCCCAAGAAAUCAACAAUGAACUCCCUCUCGAAAGCAGAAGUAGGAGGCACCCAUACUGAUGGAAAAGUAUUUUUUUUCUCUAAUUUUUUAUCGCUAGAUCCGAAUCCUUGCUCUUGUCUUUCUGUAUCAUUUAAUUUCUGUAAGUUUAAAACAAAUCAUUAGUGCUUGAGUCAGCAAAAGUUUUCAGAAAUAUUAAGGGAGGAUACAUUAAAACACUGAAAAAGCAGAUACCAUAAAUAAAUAAUAAAAUAAAAAACUUGGUUCAUCUAUAGUGAUACUUACAUCACUCUCUUCUAAUUCAGGAUGAAGUAUUAGCUCAAUAAUAAGUUGAGCUACCUUGUCACCCUUUUUGAUUUUAAAAUCUUCAUUAUUAUGAUUGUGAAUAAUUAUUUGAAUAUUUCCCCUGUAAUCUUCGUCAAUCACGCCACCUACAGAAUUGUAAGAGAACUUUGUUCAAGAAAUUCAUUACAAUAAUUUAAAAGAUACUUUAGUUAGAUAGGUACCUACCUCCAAUAUCAAUAAAGUGAUUUAGUGCCAAACUAGAUCUUGGAGCUAUUCUACCAUAGCAGUUGUUAGGCAUUUGAAGUUGUAAAUCUGUUUUAAUUAAUUCCCUUCCUUUUGCAGGAACAAUAUAAUCAUAUGCACUAAAUUAAAAAAAAAACAUUGAAAAAAUAAAUCAGUAGGUACUUUAAAAAAGAAGAAAGGGAUAUGAAUAAAAAAUUUUAAAAAUAGGUAUAUUGGAAAAAAUCAGCAAGACUUGAAAAAAUAAGUGUGUAGGUUUAAAUAAAGAAUUGAAAAAAAAAGAAGAAAUAAAUAUAGUAGAAGAAAAAAAAUUACAUACCUCUUCAAAUCAUAACCAGCUGAUUUUAAAGUUGCUUUUGUUGGAACAAAUGCGUUUUCUGACAUCUUUACAAAUUUUAAUACAUUAGCCAUGGUAUGAAAAAAAUAUUACACAACUUUUUUCAAAAAUACCUGAUCACAAUUGAAAUGUUCGAAAUUUAUAUAAAUUCACUUCAAAUUAAACACACUGAACUGUCUAAAAUACAGAUACUGGUAUAGGUAGGUACUGUGUAUUUGCAAGGCUUUAUAUACUAGAAAUCUUCAGUCAACUUUACAUGACCUCAAAUUUUCCCCAGAAAAUUAUUUCAUUAAAUCCAGUAAAAAUUACGAUGAAACAGAUUUUCGUAAGUUUAUUUACUCAACUUUCAUAACCUUACCUACAUACUUUCAAUGAUGCAAUUUUUAUGAUGUGGGUAUUAUAGGUGAUCAUCAAACUAAAGAAAACCAAGUCUUAAAACAGGUUCAGAAUAGACUUACAUUUUUUUAUUAUGUUGCACUCUCGGAUCUUGCAUUUUUUGUGCAUUCUACAUACCUAUAUCUUAACAGUGUUUAGAAGGUUGUUAUAGUUACCUACCUUGAUUAUUUUGUUUUGCUAUAAAUUAGGCAAGAACAGUAUUACACAAAGUGAAUCAACAGACAUGAAAUAUAAAUAGGUACCUUACACAAAAUUUAUGAGAAAAAAAAAAUCCGUUCAUUUUAGUAGGGAGAACGACUACAAUUUAUAAUAUAAAUACGAGAAUGAACUGCAUAGUAAAAUUAAUUUCUGUGUUGUUGUUAGUUUGGUGGUGUUUGUAUAGUAAUUUCGUGAUACCUAUCUUAUUAUUUUCAUUUUUCAUCAUGUCUUCUCUAGAUAUAACUGAAAUUUUCAACACUUUUUUAACAAGAAUUUUUGAUGGUGAACUUUAUAUAAAAAAGUUGAUUUUAAGGAAGCCAUUUACUCGUACAGAAUUCCAGGAAAUACUAGAGAAAUUUAAGGACCUAAAAAUGAAGGAACUCAUUCCAUUUGAGAUGGAGUCUGCAGUUGAAGGUUGUUUGGAAACUCUGAGAAAAGAGAUGAUAGAGGAGGAACGGAGAAUUGUAAUUCAACAAUUUGAAGAUUCUAUUAAGCGAGCUGUGGAGUCUGCAAUGAAACUGGUCUACUCCCCACAUCCAGAGGUACCAUCAUAUUCAAUAUGAUUUUUAAAAAAUUAUUUCAUCAUUGAUUUUUCAAUAUUACAAGUACAUUUUAUUCAUAUGUAGGUACCUACUCAUUUUUUUCUUACUGUUACUAUUUUAUUCAUGGUGAAUUUGUAAUUAUGCACUAUACCUAAUGAAAAUAAAUUUUUUUAAAAACAA